CGCAAGCCUGACGGAGCAAGACCGCGUGCGGGAUGACGGCCUAAUGGUUGUAAACCGCUUUUCUCUGGGAAGAUGGUGACGGUACCAGAGGAAUCAGCCUCGGCUAACUCCGUGCCAGCAGCCGCGGUAAUACGGAGGAGGCAAGCGUUAUCCGGAAUUAUUGGGCGUAAAGCGUCCGUAGGUGGUUAUUCAAGUCUGCUGUCAAAGCGUGGGGCUUAACUCCAUAGAGGCAGUGGAAACUGGGUGACUUGAGUGCGGUAGGGGUCGAGGGAAUUCCCAGUGUAGCGGUGAAAUGCGUAGAUAUUGGGAAGAACACCAGUGGCGAAGGCGCUCUACUGGGCCGUAACUGACGCUGAGGGACGAAAGCUAGGGGAGCG
RNAcentral lists this ribosomal RNA (377 nucleotides) under uncultured cyanobacterium. Its description in RNAcentral is "bacterial SSU rRNA". It matches the Rfam family "Bacterial small subunit ribosomal RNA", at positions 376 to 770 of the family's 1533-position model. Lineage: Bacteria; Bacillati; Cyanobacteriota. The record is from RNAcentral.